AAAGUCGUAACAAGGUUUCCGUAGGUGAACCUGCGGAAGGAUCAUUAAAAAUAUAGCAAACCAAGCGUUAGCGAGGUUUUGCGAUCAAUAUUAUUGUAUUUAAAACCCAACUCUUUGAAUCAAAUAUAUAUUAUGUAUCAUAAAUAAAUAAAAGAUCACUUUCAACAACGGAUCUCUUGGCUCUC
RNAcentral lists this unclassified non-coding RNA (185 nucleotides) under Glomeromycotina sp. RNAcentral describes it as "partial contains small subunit ribosomal RNA, internal transcribed spacer 1, and 5.8S ribosomal RNA". The stretch from base 1 to 47 matches the Rfam family "Eukaryotic small subunit ribosomal RNA", at positions 1785 to 1831 of the family's 1831-position model. Lineage: Eukaryota; Fungi; Glomeromycota. The record is from RNAcentral.